This 2185-nucleotide long non-coding RNA is filed under the name Danio rerio (zebrafish). Its description in RNAcentral is "lncRNA (ENSDARG00000117652.1)". Lineage: Eukaryota; Metazoa; Chordata; Actinopteri; Cypriniformes; Danionidae. The record is from RNAcentral.
UAAUCACACAUAAACUGCAAUAACCCGGUGAAAACAAGUGAACAUGUCACUGUAAAUCUCCUGUAACACAAUAUGUGCAUUGCUCGCUGUCUGUAAUGAGCUCUGUGUUUAUGAUAAUGAUGUGAUGACAGGGAAACAAUGCUCACUGUAACUAUGAUCAACAUAAUAAUGAUUAUAUUAGUCACAAACACGAACCUGCACCGCCGGAAACGCGCCAGCUCGCUCCCGAUGACGUCGCGUCACUUCAGAGCCGUGAUUAUGACUUUAAUAAAAAAUCUGUUCAAUAAUAACUGAACUUUAAUCGAAAAAGUCGCUUUAACUCGAGCUAACUCACACCACCCUGGCUUACAGUAGCGAUGACUUCACCUCCGGCAGAGCCAGUUCCGGCUGUUAUUGUUAAUUUUUGCUUUGUCAAGAUAAUACAAUUAUUUAUUGUUAAACUUUUAAAGUCGUGUUGAAUAAUACAAUAUAUCUGUCUCCACAUGUAUACUGGGUUUUUGCUGUAUAUUAUGGGUUCUGUUAUUAUUUAAUCCUUUCACAAGCGAGUCCCUCAUGAGGACUUUUAUCUGGAGAUUCAAGUGCGCAUGCCCGGAAGAGGAUCUUCAGCGUGAUCAGAUUAAAUGUAAACUGCGUUUCUUCAGCAUUAAAUGUGCUUAUUAAGUUAAUCGAUCGAUCUGAUCGAUCUUCACAGCAUUGUUUGACUCCAAGACUCGAUUGGUACCGAUUCAGAUGAUUCACUAACUGAUUCAGGAUUCACUCGACGCGCGGACAGGAUGGUGUGUGAGCUGCUGCUGUCCUCGGUGUGGUUUCUCUUCGUCAUCUUCUGGCUGGAGACCAUCAGCGUGUGGCUCUUUCUGUGUCUGUACUAUCAGGACCGGGUCUUCUAUCACUGGGGCUCAGGGGGGUUUGCAGAUGAUCCGGAUCAGUUCCUCUACGUGCUGAGCAGGAUUGAUCUGUCAACACACAUGCAAACGUGAGGAGGUGAUGUCGUCAGUUGGGAGAGGUGUAGCCUGAGGAUGAGGGCGGGGCUGCCGUGAGGGGCGGAGCUCCGCUAGUCUGCGAUGAGGAGUUUCAGGAGGCCGAUGGGAAGGGCGUGAUGUUAUCCUGUAGUCCUGAACUCAGACUGGUGACCUGUGUGAACGGUUUAUCUGUCUAAUCUGUUAAACUAGUUGGAGAUUCGGCUGUUACUUUCACUCUAUAAAACACUAACAGAUCCUUGUCGAAUUAUUGCUUUUCUAUUUUUGUACAGAUGUGUGUUUUUGCAUCAUGAUGUUGUGUAAUAAAAGCCAUUUUACAGACUUUUCAUACAGGUUUCUUUUUUGUACACGUACAUGAGCUCAGCAUGAUUUUAUUUAUUUAUUUAACAUUUCAUUCAUCAUUUCAUCUCGCACUGACCCUCAGUCAACACACUCUGACCCACAAUGCAUACAGAAAAAUAGAUGCACAUAACAAUUGUUUCUUUUUAUUCAUGUUUAUACACAGUGUUGACAAAUAAGACAGUUAUAAUCAUUUAUAGCAAACUCUGCUGUUUUUAAACCACAAUAUAGUAAAGUACUGAAAUUGUGGUGAUCCUACAGUUGCUAUAGUAACACAACUACAGUAAUUGAUCUGUUGUGGUGAUCCUACAGUUGCUAUAGUAACACAAGUACAGUAAUUAACCUGUUGUGGUGAUUCUACAGUUGCUAUAGUAACACAAGUACAGUAAUUAACCUGUUGUGGUGAUUCUACAGUUGCUAUAGUAACACAAGUACAGUAAUUAACCUGUUGUGGUGAUUCUACAGUUGCUAUGGUAACACAACUACAGUAAUUGAUCUGUUGUGGUGAUCCUACAGUUGCUAUAGUAACACAAGUACAGUAAUUAACCUGUUGUGGUGAUUCUACAGUUGCUAUAGUAACACAACUACAGUAAUUGAUCUGUUGUGGUGAUUCUACAGUUGCUAUAGUAACACAAGUACAGUAAUUAACCUGUUGUGGUGAUCCUACAGUUGCUAUAGUAACACAACUACAGUAAUUGAUCUGUUGUGGUGAUCCUACAGUUGCUAUAGUAACACAAGUACAGUAAUUAACCUGUUGUGGUGAUUCUACAGUUGCUAUAGUAACACAAGUACAGUAAUUAACCUGUUGUGGUGAUCCUACAGUUGCUAUAGUAACACAACUACAGUAAUUGAUCUGUUGUGGUGAUCCU